UGAGAGAAAAGUGAGGGGGACAGGGAGAGUAGAUUGGACGUGUUAGCCCACAGUCACAAUUCCUGGGUAAAGGUUUUCCAUUGAGAGAAAAGUGAGGGGGACAGGGAGAGUAGAUUGGACGUGUUAGCCCACAGUCACAAUUCCUGGGUAAAGGUUUUCCAUUGAGAGAAAAGUGAGGGGGACAGGGAGAGUAGAUUGGACGUGUUAGCCCACAGUCACAAGUCAUUGGAAAAGGUUUUCUAUUGAGAGAAAAGUGAGGGGGACAGGGAGAGUAGAUUGGACGUGUUAGCCCACAGUCACAAGUCAUUGGAAAAGGUUUUCCAUUGAGAGAAAAGUGAGGGGGACAGGGAGAGUAGAUUGGACGUAUUAGCCCACAGUCACAAGUCAUUGGAAAAGGUUUUCUAUUGAGAGAAAAGUGAGGGGGACAGGGAGAGUAGAUUGGACGUGUUAGCCCACAGUCACAAUUCCUGGGUAAAGGUUUUCCAUUGAGAGAAAAGUGAGGGGGACAGGGAGAGUAGAUUGGACGUGUUAGCCCACAGUCACAAUUCCUGGGUAAAGGUUUUCCAUUGAGAGAAAAGUGAGGGGGACAGGGAGAGUAGAUUGGACGUGUUAGCCCACAGUCACAAGUCAUUGGAAAAGGUUUUCUAUUGAGAGAAAAGUGAGGGGGACAGGGAGAGUAGAUUGGACGUGUUAGCCCACAGUCACAAGUCAUUGGAAAAGGUUUUCCAUUGAGAGAAAAGUGAGGGGGACAGGGAGAGUAGAUUGGACGUAUUAGCCCACAGUCACAAGUCAUUGGAAAAGGUUUUCCAUUGAGAGAAAAGUGAGGGGGACAGGGAGAGUAGAUUGGACGUAUUAGCCCACAGUCACAAGUCAUUGGAAAAGGUUUUCCAUUGAGAGAAAAGUGAAGGGGACAGGGAGAGUAGAUUGGACGUGUUAGCCCACAGUCACAAGUCAUUGGAAAAGGUUUUCCAUUGAGAGAAAAGUGAGGGGGACAGGGAGAGUAGAUUGGACGUGUUAGCCCACAGUCACAAGUCAUUGGAAAAGGUUUUCCAUUGAGAGAAAAGUGAGGGGGACAGGGAGAGUAGAUUGGACGUGUUAGCCCACAGUCACAAGUCAUUGGAAAAGGUUUUCCAUUGAGAGAAAAGUGAGGGGGACAGGGAGAGUAGAUUGGACGUGUUAGCCCACAGUCACAAGUCAUUGGAAAGUUCAAUAACUAUGAAUGUCUAAUGAUUAGAUGAUGCAUGAAACAUUAUACUCUCCAUGUAUAACUCUGGACCACUGUCAUGGGCAUUUAUGAAGCCAGACGUUACUCGAUAUCGAGCCUCGUGUAUAUAUAUAUAUAUAAAGCAGCUCCACACCCUGACUCUACCCUUUCAGAUAAAUCUCUCAGCAAAUAUCAAGUUGAAAUGUAAAAACCCUCAAACAACAAAACAGCAGCUCUCUCCAUGCACACACUCACCAAAUCUCACUGGAUUAAGAGUAAAGUCGUAUAAUAACAGGUUAUUUUGAGUUUAUCAUGCAUUAAGAUUGUUUGACCAAAGAAUAAACCAAAUCCGCUUUGACCCACCACUCCUUAUUUUUGUAAAGAGAGAUUCUUGGCCUCUUAGAAAAGCUGUAACUGAGUUUCUUUGACAUUCAUGAGUGUGUAAAAAUACAUUUUUUAUUGCCAGGACAUGAGAAUGACAGGUAAUGGCCGCAAACAAGAACGGGAAUGAACUUUUGGCUAACAGGAGAGACAUUCAUAAAACAUCGGACGCCAGUUUGACAUCCCUCCUGGCUACAGACAGGACUUCAAACUUCAAUCAAACGUGGAACAAGUUGCAUCAUUUUCUUUUAUUCUGGACCUUUUUGUUUUUAUUUAUUUAUUUAUUUUUAACUCCUUGAGGAGUUUCUGAAGUCAGUAGUGUUCCUGCAAAAAUAAUGCUCUGUUGUUAAUGCUAGAGAAUGAGGAUGACAAAAUAUCAUAACUAAUGAGAGAAAUUGUGUUAUUUUGUGUAUUUUCAUUUUUGUCAAUGUGCAUGUAUAGUUUUAUUAAGGAUAACCUAUAACCUUGAAUUUUGCCUUAUGCUGAUUUUACAAUGACCAUUUAUAUCAUGAAGAAAACUAAUGCAGCAUAAUGAUCUUCAAUAGUUGGAGUUUCAUUCAAAAACGCUAUAUAUCAAUUUUCAGAAAUAUUGGUAAAUGAGCUUUUAUUGUUUAAAGACAUUAUGAAAGAGAUUGUUUUUUUUCACUAUCUAAUCACGGCAUGUUCAGUGACAGACAUGUAUUUGUUGAAAAUCGAUGACUAAUCAUGUUUAGUUUUUUUUUUUUUUACAAAAUGCUAUAUAUCCGCCUCACUCUCAGAGAAAUAAUAGUUUCUGAUGAAAAAACACAAAUGUGAAAAUUGGUAGAUACAGCGAAAAUUGGGCUGAGACAAGUUUUAUAUAUUACAGUAGAUAAAUGUGACAAUAUGCAUUCACAAAAGUCUCUUCUGAAUGGUCAUGGUGGGUAAACAGAGAGACAUAGGGUCUGUCUGUCUGUCUGUCUGUCUGUCUGUCUGUCUGUCUGAUGACUGUAAUGACUGCAUUACCAAAAGAUGGUGUAAGGUCUCUACCCGUCAGACCCGUCCGACUGCAAAGCAUUACCAAAAGAUGGUGUAUGGUCUCUACCCUGGGGACCCGUCUGACUGCAAAGCAUUACCAAAAGAUGGUGUAUGGUCUCUACCCUGGGGACCCGUCUGACUGCAAAGCAUUACCAAAAGAUGGUGUAUGGUCUCUACCCGUCAGACCCGUCCGACUGCAAAGCAUUACCAAAAGAUGGUGUAUGGUCUCUACCCUGGGGACCCGUCUGACUGCAAAGCAUUACCAAAAGAUGGUGUAUGGUCUCUACCCUGGGGACCCGUCUGACUGCAAAGCAUUACCAAAAGAUGGUGUAUGGUCUCUACCCUGGGGACCCGUCUGACUGCAAAGCAUUACCAAAAGAUGGUGUAUGGUCUCUACCCUGGGGACCCGUCUGACUGCAAAGCAUUACAAAAGUAUAUGGUCUCUACCCUGGGGACUCGUCUGACUGCAAAGCAUUACAAAAGUAUAUGGUCUCUACCCUGGGGACUCGUCUGACUGCAAAGCAUUACAAGAGCAUAUGGUCUCUACCCUGGGGACCCGUCUGACUGCACAGCAUUACAAAAUGACAUGGUCUCUACCCUGGCGACCCGUCUGACUGCAAAGCAUUACAAAAGUAAAUGGUCUCUACCCCGGGGACCCGUCCGACUGCAAAGCAUUACAAAAGUACAUGGUCUCGACCCUUGGGACCCGUCCGACUGCAAAGCAUUACAAAAGUAUAUGGUCUCUACCCUGGGGACCCGUCUGACUGCAAAGCAUUACAAGAGUAUAUGGUCUCUACCCUGGGGACUCGUCUGACUGCAAAGCAUUACAAAAGUAUAUGGUCUCUACCCUGGGGACUCGUCUGACUGCAAAGCAUUACAAGAGUAUAUGGUCUCUACCCUGGGGACCCGUCUGACUGCACAGCAUUACAAAAUGACAUGGUCUCUACCCUGGCGACCCGUCUGACUGCAAAGCAUUACAAAAGUAUAUGGUCUCUACCCCGGGGACCCGUCCGACUGCAAAGCAUUACAAAAGUACAUGGUCUCGACCCUUGGGACCUGUCCGACUGCAAAGCAUUACAAAUGUAUAUGGUCUCUACCCUGGGGACCCGUCUGACUGCAAAGCAUUACAAAAGUAUAUGGUUUCUACCCUGGGGACCCGUCCGACUGCAAAGCAUUACAAAAGUAUAUGGUCUCUACCCUGGCGACCCGUCUGACUGCAAAGCAUUACAAAAGUAUAUGGUCUCUACCCCGGGGACCCGUCCGACUGCAAAGCAUUACAAAAGUACAUGGUCUCGACCCUUGGGACCCGUCCGACUGCAAAGCAUUACAAAAGUAUAUGGUCUCUACCCUGGGGACUUGUCUGACUGCAAAGCAUUACAAAAGUAUAUGGUCUCUACCCUGGGGACUCGUCUGACUGCAAAGCAUUACAAGAGUAUAUGGUCUCUACCCUGGGGACCCGUCUGACUGCACAGCAUUACAAAAUGACAUGGUCUCUACCCUGGCGACCCGUCUGACUGCAAAGCAUUACAAAAGUAUAUGGUCUCUACCCCGGGGACCCGUCCGACUGCAAAGCAUUACAAAAGUAUAUGGUCUCUACCCUGGGGACCCGUCUGACUGCAAAGCAUUACAAAAGUAUAUGGUCUCUACCCUGGGGACCCGUCCGACUGCAAAGCAUUACAAAAGUAUAUUGUCUCUACCCUGGGGACCCGUCCGACUGCAAAGCAUUACAAAAGGAAAUGGUCUCUACCUUGGG
This is a long non-coding RNA of Oncorhynchus keta (chum salmon), 4334 nucleotides long. RefSeq lists it as uncharacterized. The record is from RefSeq and is a predicted model, not a curated record. NCBI's taxonomy places the organism in Eukaryota, Metazoa, Chordata, Actinopteri, Salmoniformes, Salmonidae. The transcript is spliced from 3 exons.